RNAcentral lists this ribosomal RNA (459 nucleotides) under uncultured bacterium. Its description in RNAcentral is "partial 16S ribosomal RNA". It matches the Rfam family "Bacterial small subunit ribosomal RNA", at positions 338 to 795 of the family's 1533-position model. The record is from RNAcentral.
CCUACGGGUGGCAGCAGUGAGGAAUAUUGGUCAAUGGCCGCAGGGCUGAACCAGCCAAGUCGCGUGAGGGAUGACGGCCCUAUGGAUUGUAAACCUCUUUUGUCAGGGAGCAAAGGGAGUCACGUGUGACGCAUUGCGAGUACCCGAAGAAAAAGCAUCGGCUAACUCCGUGCCAGCAGCCGCGGUAAUACGGAGGAUGCGAGCGUUAUCCGGAUUUAUUGGGUUUAAAGGGUGCGCAGGCGGAGGGGCAAGUCAGCGGUAAAAUUUCGGGGCUCAACCCCGUACUGCCGUUGAAACUGGCGUCCUUGAGUGCGCGAGAAGUAUGCGGAAUGCGUGGUGUAGCGGUGAAAUGCAUAGAUAUCACGCAGAACUCCGAUUGCGAAGGCAGCAUACCGGCGCUCAACUGACGCUCAUGCACGAAAGCGUGGGUAUCGAACAGGAUUAGAUACCCUAGUAGUC